UACCGAGGAUUUCCUCGGCAGUUAACUGCAGCCGAUCUCUUAAUUCCUCGGCAGUUAACUGCCGAUGAGGCA
Molecule: microRNA precursor, 72 nt
Filed under: Medicago truncatula (barrel medic)
Lineage: Eukaryota; Viridiplantae; Streptophyta; Magnoliopsida; Fabales; Fabaceae
Description: MIR2629 microRNA precursor family
Rfam family: MIR2629 microRNA precursor family
Source: Rfam by way of RNAcentral